UCUCCGUAGGUGAACCUGCGGAGGGAUCAUUACAAGAAACGACCCCGGUUUUACCACCGGGUGAUUUCAUAACCCUUUGUUGUCCGACUCUGUUGCCUCCGGGGCGACCCUGCCUUCGGGCGGGGGCUCCGGGUGGACAAAUUCAAACUCUUGCGUAACUUUGCAGUCUGAGUAAAUUUAAUUAAUAAAUUAAAACUUUCAACAACGGAUCUCUUGGUUCUG
This 222-nucleotide unclassified non-coding RNA is filed under the name Cladosporium herbarum. RNAcentral's name for it is "partial contains small subunit ribosomal RNA, internal transcribed spacer 1, and 5.8S ribosomal RNA". The record is from RNAcentral. RNAcentral also lists the same sequence under 1 other name. Lineage: Eukaryota; Fungi; Ascomycota; Dothideomycetes; Cladosporiales; Cladosporiaceae.